UGCAAGCGUUGUCCGGAAUUAUUGGGCGUAAAGAGCUCGUAGGCGGUUUGUCGCGUCUGCUGUGAAAACUGGAGGCUCAACCUCCAGCCUGCAGUGGGUACGGGCAGACUAGAGUGCGGUAGGGGAGAUUGGAAUUCCUGGUGUAGCGGUGGAAUGCGCAGAUAUCAGGAGGAACACCGAUGGCGAAGGCAGAUCUCUGGGCCGUAACUGACGCUGAGGAGCGAAAGCGUGGGGAGCGAACAGGAUUAGAUACCCUGGUAGUCCACGCCGUAAACGUUGGGAACUAGAUGUGGNGGCCAUUCCACGGUCUCCGUGUCGCAGCUAACGCAUUAAGUUCCCCGCCUGGGGAGUACGGCCGCAAGGCUAAAACUCAAAGGAAUUGACGGGGGCCCGCACAAGCGGCGGAGCAUGCGGAUUAAUUCGAUGCAACGCGAAGAACCUUACCAAGGCUUGACAUAUACGAGAACGGGCCAGAAAUGGUCAACUCUUUGGACACUCGUAAACAGGUGGUGCAUGGUUGUCGUCAGCUCGUGUCGUGAGAUGUUGGGUUAAGUCCCGCAACGAGCGCAACCCUCGUUCUAUGUUGCCAGCACGUCAUGGUGGGAACUCAUAGGAGACUGCCGGGGUCAACUCGGAGGAAGGUGGGGAUGACGUCAAAUCAUCAUGCCCCUUAUGUCUUGGGCUUCACGCAUGCUACAAUGGCCGGUACAAAGGGCUGCAAUACCGUAAGGUGGAGCGAAUCCCAAAAAGCCGGUCUCAGUUCGGAUUGAGGUCUGCAACUCGACCUCAUGAAGUCGGAGUCGCUAGUAAUCGUGAAUCAGCAACGUCACGGUGAAUACGUUCCCGGGCCUUGUACACACCGCCCGUCAAGUCAUGAAAGUCGGUAACACCCAACGCCAGUGGCCUAACCCCUUGUGGGAGGGAGCUGUCUAAGGUGGGAUCGGUGAUUAGGACUAAGUCGUAACAAGGUAACC
Molecule: ribosomal RNA, 974 nt
Filed under: bacterium H12
Lineage: Bacteria
Description: bacterial SSU rRNA
Rfam family: Bacterial small subunit ribosomal RNA
Source: RNAcentral